This 468-nucleotide ribosomal RNA is filed under the name uncultured bacterium. RNAcentral's name for it is "partial 16S ribosomal RNA". It matches the Rfam family "Bacterial small subunit ribosomal RNA", at positions 28 to 507 of the family's 1533-position model. The record is from RNAcentral.
GACGAACGCUGGCGGCGUGCUUAACACAUGCAAGUCGAACGGAAAGGCCCUGCUUUUGUGGGGUGCUCGAGUGGCGAACGGGUGAGUAACACGUGAGUAACCUGCCCUUGACUUUGGGAUAACUUCAGGAAACUGGGGCUAAUACCGGAUAGGAGCUCCUGCUGCAUGGUGGGGGUUGGAAAGUUUCGGCGGUUGGGGAUGGACUCGCGGCUUAUCAGCUUGUUGGUGGGGUAGUGGCUUACCAAGGCUUUGACGGGUAGCCGGCCUGAGAGGGUGACCGGCCAAAUUGGGACUGAGAUACGGCCCAGACUCCUACGGGAGGCAGCAGUGGGGAAUAUUGCACAAUGGGCGGAAGCCUGAUGCAGCAACGCCGCGUGCGGGAUGACGGCCUUCGGGUUGUAAACCGCUGUCGCCUGUGACGAAGCGUGAGUGACGGUAAUGGGUAAAGAAGCACCGGCUAACUACGCG